RNAcentral lists this ribosomal RNA (1499 nucleotides) under metagenome. RNAcentral's name for it is "bacterial SSU rRNA". It matches the Rfam family "Bacterial small subunit ribosomal RNA". The record is from RNAcentral.
AGAGUUUGGUCCUGGCUCAGGAUGAACGCUAGCUACAGGCUUAACACAUGCAAGUCGAGGGGAAACGAUAUUGGAAGCUUGCUUCCGAUAGGCGUCGACCGGCGCACGGGUGAGUAACGCGUAUCCAACCUGCCCAUCACUUGGGAAUAACCUUGCGAAAGUAAGACUAAUGCCCAAUGACAUUUAUAGAAGGCAUCGGAAAUGAAUUAAAGAUUUAUUGGUGAUGGAUGGGGAUGCGUCUGAUUAGCUUGUUGGCGGGGUAACGGCCCACCAAGGCGACGAUCAGUAGGGGUUCUGAGAGGAAGGUCCCCCACAUUGGAACUGAGACACGGUCCAAACUCCUACGGGAGGCAGCAGUGAGGAAUAUUGGUCAAUGGGCGAGAGCCUGAACCAGCCAAGUAGCGUGCAGGAUGACGGCCCUAUGGGUUGUAAACUGCUUUUAUAGGGGAAUAAAGUGAGCCACGUGUGGUUUUUCGCAUGUACCCUAUGAAUAAGGACCGGCUAAUUCCGUGCCAGCAGCCGCGGUAAUACGGAAGGUCCGGGCGUUAUCCGGAUUUAUUGGGUUUAAAGGGAGCGUAGGCCGGAGAUUAAGCGUGUUGUGAAAUGUAGAUGCUCAACAUCUGCACUGCAGCGCGAACUGGUUUCCUUGAGUACGCAUAAAGUGGGCGGAAUUCGUGGUGUAGCGGUGAAAUGCUUAGAUAUCACGAAGAACUCCGAUUGCGAAGGCAGCUCACUGGGGCGCAACUGACGCUGAAGCUCGAAAGCGCGGGUAUCGAACAGGAUUAGAUACCCUGGUAGUCCGCGCGGUAAACGAUGGAUGCCCGCUGUUGGGCCAACUGGUUCAGCGGCCAAGCGAAAGCAUUAAGCAUCCCACCUGGGGAGUACGCCGGCAACGGUGAAACUCAAAGGAAUUGACGGGGGCCCGCACAAGCGGAGGAACAUGUGGUUUAAUUCGAAGCAACGCGAAGAACCUUACCUAGACUUGACAUCUCCUGCAUUACCCUUAAUCGGGAAAGUUCCUUCGGGGACAGGAAGACAGGUGGUGCAUGGUUGUCGUCAGCUCGUGUCGUGAGAUGUUGGGUUAAGUCCCGCAACGAGCGCAACCCUUAUUGUUAGUUGCUACCAUUUAGUUGAGCACUCUAGCGAGACUGCCCGGGUUAACCGGGAGGAAGGUGGGGAUGACGUCAAAUCAUCAUGCCCCUUAUGUCUAGGGCUACACACGUACUACAAUGGCAAGUACAAAGAGAUGCAAUACCGCGAGGUGGAGCAAAACUCAAAAACUUGUCUCAGUUCGGAUUGUAGGCUGAAACUCGCCUACAUGAAGCUGGAGUUGCUAGUAAUCGCGAAUCAGCAUGUCGCGGUGAAUACGUUCCCGGGCCUUGUACACACCGCCCGUCACACCAUGAUAGUUGGCAAUACCCAAAGUGCGUGAUCUAACUCGCAAGAGAGGAAGCGCCCUAAGGUAGGGUCAGCGAUUGGGGUGAAGUCGUAACAAGGUA